Dermacentor silvarum is the source of this 487-nucleotide long non-coding RNA. RefSeq lists it as uncharacterized. The transcript is spliced from 2 exons. NCBI's taxonomy places the organism in Eukaryota, Metazoa, Arthropoda, Arachnida, Ixodida, Ixodidae. The record is from RefSeq and is a predicted model, not a curated record.
AAUGGUCCAUUUACACUCGGCAUGCUUCACCGCAGUACAUUGCGUAUGCUUGACCGCGUAGCACGCAUGCGUUGCGGCGAAGCUGAUAGUAGGGAACCGGGCAUUAUGCAGCGCUCGAGCCUAGCUUCUUGUCAGUGACUGCGGAUGGAAAACACAUACACGUUCAAGAGCUUUUCGUCGAUCUUUACACCUCUUUAUUGAAUGAAAAUGAUAACGUACGCCUGUGUCCGUGAGUUAAAAGAUCGAUAAAGACUCUGGGCACUUACUUGCAGUGUGUGAAAAAUAGAGAACUUUAUUUAUGCAGGUGUCCAUGCUCCUGCAGUCCUGUGGUGACCCUGUGGAGCUGGAUCCGGCCUCGUGGAAACACAGCCGGCUCAUCAGUCACAAAUGCAUGCCUCCUCGGGCGGAUGACACGAAGCAACUGCCUGCUGCCAUCAUGUGCCUAAUGUACUUAAAGCGAGCAAUAAAGAGAGAAUUUAGUUUCGCA